UACAGAGGUCUCAAGCGUUGUUCGGAUUCAUUGGGCGUAAAGGGUGCGUAGGCGGCGCGGUAAGUCGGGUGUGAAAUCUCGGAGCUUAACUCCGAAACUGCAUUCGAUACUGCCGUGCUUGAGGACUGGAGAGGAGACUGGAAUUUACGGUGUAGCGGUGAAAUGCGUAGAUAUCGUAAGGAAGACCAGUGGCGAAGGCGGGUCUCUGGGACGGUACUGGCGCUGAGACGCGAAAGCGUGGGGAGCGAACAGG
This 253-nucleotide ribosomal RNA is filed under the name uncultured bacterium. Its description in RNAcentral is "partial 16S ribosomal RNA". It matches the Rfam family "Bacterial small subunit ribosomal RNA", at positions 524 to 776 of the family's 1533-position model. The record is from RNAcentral.